RNAcentral lists this ribosomal RNA (458 nucleotides) under uncultured bacterium. RNAcentral's name for it is "partial 16S ribosomal RNA". It matches the Rfam family "Bacterial small subunit ribosomal RNA", at positions 338 to 795 of the family's 1533-position model. The record is from RNAcentral.
CCUACGGGCGGCAGCAGUGGCGAAUAUUGCACAAUGGGGGAAACCCUGAUGCAGCGACGCCGCGUGAGUGAAGAAGUAUUUCGGUAUGUAAAGCUCUAUCAGCAGGGAAGAAAUAGCGACCUUUGGGUCGCCAGACGGUACCUGACUAAGAAGCCCCGGCUAACUACGUGCCAGCAGCCGCGGUAAUACGGAGGGGGCAAGCGUUAUCCGGAUUUACUGGGUGUAAAGGGAGCGUAGACGGCAGCACAAGUCUGAAGUGAAAUGCCGGGGCUUAACCCCGGAACUGCUUUGGAAACUGUGCAGCUAGAGUGCAGGAGAGGUAAGUGGAAUGCGUAGUGUAGCGGUGAAAUGCGUAGAUAUUAGGAGGAACACCAGUGGCGAAGGCGGCUUACUGGACUGUAACUGACGUUGAGGCUCGAAAGCGUGGGGAGCAAACAGGAUUAGAUACCCCGGUAGUC